GAUGAACGCUGGCGGCGUGCCUAAUACAUGCAAGUCGAGCGAACAGACGAGGAGCUUGCUCCUCUGACGUUAGCGGCGGACGGGUGAGUAACACGUGGAUAACCUACCUAUAAGACUGGGAUAACUUCGGGAAACCGGAGCUAAUACCGGAUAACAUGUUGAACCGCAUGGUUCAACAGUGAAAGACGGUUUUGCUGUCACUUAUAGAUGGAUCCGCGUCGCAUUAGCUAGUUGGUAAGGUAACGGCUUACCAAGGCAACGAUGCGUAGCCGACCUGAGAGGGGGAUCGGCACACUGGAACUGAGACACGGUCCAGACUCCUACGGGAGGCAGCAGUAGGGAAUCUUCCGCAAUGGGCGAAAGCCUGACGGAGCAACGCCGCGUGAGUGAAGAAGGUCUUCGGAUCGUAAAACUCUGUUAUUAGGGAAGAACAAAUGUGUAAGUAACUAUGCACGUCUUGACGGUACCUAAUCAGAAAGCCACGGCUAACUACGUG
This 496-nucleotide ribosomal RNA is filed under the name uncultured bacterium. Its description in RNAcentral is "partial 16S ribosomal RNA". It matches the Rfam family "Bacterial small subunit ribosomal RNA", at positions 28 to 507 of the family's 1533-position model. The record is from RNAcentral.